Molecule: long non-coding RNA, 343 nt
Filed under: Aplysia californica (California sea hare)
Lineage: Eukaryota; Metazoa; Mollusca; Gastropoda; Aplysiida; Aplysiidae
Description: uncharacterized LOC106011092, transcript variant X2
Source: RNAcentral
GUCUCUUCCGGGGGGGAAAUAUUAUCGAGGACUGAUUCAUGAACAGCAAGUGAACGAUUGAGCCUACAUCCGACCGACCCUCCUUACUACACACUAUAAAGAAUAUCCCAGCUCUCGAGACCUGGCGAGGAGAGAAGAAGGAGAUCGCUUAUCAGAAUUGUACAAAUUAGUUUACAGAACGAAUGUGUUUGUGAAAUUUCGACAAUGGAAACCUUAAUAUUAUACACAACAGAUUUUUGACAGUUCUCUCUUCUGGAUCAAUUUAAAGUUGAACACAAAAGGCAGAUUCGCUCCCUUGAACCGGGGUGCACCCCUGUCAAUAAAAUCCAAUUGACCGAGGUUG